CCUACGGGAGGCUGCAGUGAGGAAUAUUGGUCAAUGGCCGUAAGGCUGAACCAGCCAAGUAGCGUGAGGGAUGACUGCCCUAUGGGUUGUAAACCUCUUUUAUCCGGGGAUAAAGGUGUGCACGUGUGCCUUUUUGCAGGUACCCCAUGAAUAAGGAUCGGCUAACUCCGUGCCAGCAGCCGCGGUAAUACGGAGGGUCCGAGCGUUAUCCGGAUUUAUUGGGUUUAAAGGGAGCGUAGGCCGGUCUUUAAGCGUGCCGUGAAAUUUUGUGGCUCAACCAUGACAGUGCGGCGGCAACUGGAGGCCUUGAGUGCGCGGGAGGCAGGCGGAAUGCGUGGUGUAGCGGUGAAAUGCUUAGAUAUCACGAAGAACCCCGAUUGCGAAGGCAGCCUGCCGAACCGCCACUGACGCUGAGGCACGAAAGCGCGGGUAUCGAACAGGAUUAGAUACCCGUGUAGUC
Molecule: ribosomal RNA, 460 nt
Filed under: uncultured bacterium
Lineage: Bacteria
Description: partial 16S ribosomal RNA
Rfam family: Bacterial small subunit ribosomal RNA
Source: RNAcentral